Medicago truncatula (barrel medic) is the source of this 704-nucleotide long non-coding RNA. RefSeq lists it as uncharacterized. The transcript has 3 exons. The record is from RefSeq and is a predicted model, not a curated record. Lineage: Eukaryota; Viridiplantae; Streptophyta; Magnoliopsida; Fabales; Fabaceae.
CAUUCAAUUUUUUUUUUCACUCUCAUGUCAUCCUUCAAUUAUAGUCAAAAAGGAGUUCUUCCCUUAUUCCACCAUAUCAAUCGGUUUUUGGGUUUUCUUGUAAUCUCUAUUGUUUUUUUAAAACAAUCUCAACUUUAUUUCCCCAAAUGGUCAAGGAAGUUGGUUCCAGUCAGAUCAUGUUCGGAAGUUGCAUAUUUCAAUGCAUACUUUAUUUUUUUAUAAAGUCAAAAUUCUUCAAGAUCUAGAUAUUCCGAUCUCGAUCAAGAUAUCACUGACAUCCUUGACUGUGUGAAAGUGUUGAUUGUUGAUUUUAACAAAUUCAAAGUUCAGACAGACAUCGACAUGGAUAGAUCUAUAUCAACAUUUUCAUGAAUUUUGAGACGGAAUAGAAUAGAGCUAUUCUGGUUUGUUACAUUAGUAAAAAUAAUCUCAAGACUUAUGAUUUUAUUUUAUUUAAAUUUCAGGUAUUCCGGUGAAUGUUGCAGCUAUUAUGGCUCUGUAGGAGAAUUCAUUCCCCUCUGGGUAACUCUGUCCGCAACUACAAAGACUAAUCUCUUUAGUUGGGUGGGAAAUCUCUCGCUCAAAAAAUUUAACAAUGUUGCAUUAUCAAGGCUGAAUUCAAACUCGUAUUCCAGUGAAUGUUGCAGCUAAAGUUGUGGCUCUGUAGGAGAAUGCAUUCCUCUCAGUAUGUUUUUUUUCUUCUU